This 28-nucleotide non-coding RNA is filed under the name Mus musculus (house mouse). The record is from RNAcentral. Lineage: Eukaryota; Metazoa; Chordata; Mammalia; Rodentia; Muridae.
UCCCUCUUGUGGUGUGGGCCUCGAGUUG